RNAcentral lists this transfer RNA (73 nucleotides) under Stegodyphus mimosarum. It matches the Rfam family "tRNA". From Rfam's summary of the family: Transfer RNA (tRNA) molecules are approximately 80 nucleotides in length. The record is from Rfam by way of RNAcentral. Lineage: Eukaryota; Metazoa; Arthropoda; Arachnida; Araneae; Eresidae.
GCCUUCAUGGUGUAGUAGUCAGCACACUCGACACGCAACCGAGAGGUCCAUGGUUCGAUUCCCGGUGAAGGCG